RNAcentral lists this non-coding RNA (223 nucleotides) under Limosilactobacillus fermentum. The record is from RNAcentral. Lineage: Bacteria; Bacillati; Bacillota; Bacilli; Lactobacillales; Lactobacillaceae.
UAAAUUUCGUUGAUGAGAAGAGUAGCGACGGCGGUCACCUACAGAGAGCCCCGGCUGGUGAGAGGGGUGCUGAUCAAGGUCGUGAAGAUGAUCUCGGAGGAAGAGCGGGGGUCCUCGGGCUACCCGCUCCGGUGGCACCCGAUACCGUGCGGGGGAUGUAUGUCCUCGCUAAGGCUGCUUUGGCAGCGAAAUUGGGUGGUACCACGAAGUCCUCGUCCCAUGG